CCUACGGGAGGCAGCAGUGAGGAAUAUUGGUCAAUGGACGCAAGUCUGAACCAGCCAUGCCGCGUGCAGGAUGACGGUUCUAUGAGUUGUAAACCUCUUUUGUACGAGGGUAAACCCCGAUACGUGUAUCGGGUUGAAAGUAUCGUACGAAUAAGGAUCGGCUAACUCCGUGCCAGCAGCCGACGUAAGACGGAAGAUCCGAGCGUUAUCCGGAUUUAUUGGGUUUAAAGGGUGCGUAGGCGGUUUGAUAAGUUAGAGGUGAAAUGUCGGGGCUAAACCCCGAAACUGCCUGUAAUACUGUUGAACUAGAGAAUAGUUGCGGUAGGCGGAAUGUAUGGUGUAGCGGUGAAAUGCUUAGAGAUCAUACAGAACACCGAUUGCGAAGGCAGCUUACCAAACUAUAUCUGACGUUGAGGCACGAAAGCGUGGGUAGCAAACAGGAUUAGAUACCCCGGUAGUC
Molecule: ribosomal RNA, 460 nt
Filed under: uncultured bacterium
Lineage: Bacteria
Description: partial 16S ribosomal RNA
Rfam family: Bacterial small subunit ribosomal RNA
Source: RNAcentral